This 468-nucleotide ribosomal RNA is filed under the name uncultured bacterium. RNAcentral describes it as "partial 16S ribosomal RNA". It matches the Rfam family "Bacterial small subunit ribosomal RNA", at positions 28 to 507 of the family's 1533-position model. The record is from RNAcentral.
GACGAACGCUGGCGGCGUGCUUAACACAUGCAAGUCGAACGGUGAAGCUCCAGCUUGCUGGAGUGGAUCAGUGGCGAACGGGUGAGUAACACGUGAGCAACCUGCCCCUGACUCUGGAAUAAGCGCUGGAAACGGCGUCUAAUACUGGAUACGAGAAGGGUCCGCGUGGGCACUUUCUGGAAAGUUUUUCGGUUGGGGAUGGGCUCGCGGCCUAUCAGCUUGUUGGUGAGGUAAUGGCUCACCAAGGCGACGACGGGUAGCCGGCCUGAGAGGGCGACCGGCCACACUGGGACUGAGACACGGCCCAGACUCCUACGGGAGGCAGCAGUGGGGAAUAUUGCACAAUGGGCGAAAGCCUGAUGCAGCGACGCCGCGUGAGGGAUGACGGCCUUCGGGUUGUAAACCUCUUUCAGCAGGGAAGAAGCGAAAGUGACGGUACCUGCAGAAGAAGCACCGGCUAACUACGUG